CUCUCCGUCUCUGUCUACUGAAAAUCCAAGGAGAAAAAUAAAACCCUAGACUUCGAUUUCACGAUCCAAAUCAAGAUAAAUUGAACCAUAAAAUUUCGAUUUUGUUCUUUAACAUUGUGUUUUCAUUUGCUUUUAAUCAUAAUCAGUGUGUUAAUACAUUUAGAUUUCAUGGAGAAAAUUCAAUUUCGACUUCAUUUAGAAUGUUGCAGGUCAGGGUUUCGAAAUUGGAUCAUCGAAGAAAAAGUUUCUGAGCUACCUAGGGGUUGUUAAAUGUCUUGCACUAUGUGCUACCUACAUCAAGGAUUUUUUUUUUCCUUAAAUUUUUAUGCUCAUUGCUAGCCCUAUAACAUGGACCGAGCUGAAGAUCUAGUAAGGGAGAUGGAACAAAAAUGAAUUAAUGCUCCAAUUGACAUAUAUCAUACUAUGAUGGAUGGUUAUUUGCCGUGUUUAAAUAGCUAUAUGUAUACAAACGUAAACAUCUUAUGCCAUACCUGGUCAGUAUUGCCAGCUCAAAGGUGUUGCCACGUUAACUUUUUUGUGCUCUACUUGGUUUUUACCUCUCAAAUGUGUCUGAAACUCCAAGGAGUAUGGUAGAUUAACUUCAUAAAGAUACACUGAUGCUAUUUCUAUCUUGACUGUUCUUAUAUGCUCUCUUUCAAGGGGCUUCCGUUGGUCCUGUUAUUCAGAUGGCUAUGGAUAUUGACUUUAGGCUAGUAUAGAUGGCUAAGCAUUGUUGUUUGUUUGUUGCUGUGGGUGUCUAAGCUAAAUUAACUUGGUAAAGUCAAUGCAUUGCAUCUAACUGUUGGCAUUGCCCUUUAGGCACUUGUCCUAGGUUGACAUGUUUGAGGAUGAGAGUCUUUUGGUGAAUAAUUUUGGUUAUUUGCUUAUUUGCAGUUGUGCUGAUAAUCUGGACAUUGGUAGAGUAGAGGAAUUUUGAUGCACUUGCUAAGCUUUUAGCUAGUAUCCAAGAGGCUUAUCACCAGGCUUCGGAAUAUGGAGACUUUCAUUUGGGUGAUCUUUAUUUAGUAAAAAUAAAUGGCAAUGGUUUUUGUACAGUUGUAUACCAGCGGUGGAGGAGAGACUUGAAGAAAAAGUUGACAAUCUCGUAUCCUUGUGUCAUGCUUAAUGUCGAUGUCGCAAGAAACAACAAAAAUGAUCAAUACCAGACACUCGAAGAUCCUAUUAAUAAGACAUAUACUACACAAAGCGAAUGCUCUAUUGAAUUUGAAGUGGAUGGUCCUUAUAAGGCGAUGAUCCUACCAGCUUCAAAGGAAGAGGUGAUAUUAAUUAAGAAGCGGUAUGCUGUUUUUAAUGAUGACAGAACCAUUGCGGAGCUUAAAGGUUUUGAAAUCAAGCGCAGAGGUGAGCUUAAGCUCAUCAAAGUCUUCCAGGUUUGCAUUGUUUCUUCUGCGGUUUCCUUGGUUUUGUGUGUUCAUUUUUGUACUCAGUUUGUAUCUUAUUCUUAUUUUUCCUUCUCCAACAUUUUCAAUAUCCGUCAGUCCCUGCACUGUCUAUCAAUCAUGAUAAACUAUUCGUCUAUGUACAUAUCUGAUGCCCAAAUGUUCAUGACAUCAUUUGCUUCUGUCAUGUGAUUGUUAUUCUGCAUCAUAAUUAUAGGAAUUAGAUAACAUGCAAGUGUGCCAUUGUCCAACACUAGCAUUAUUCUUGGAAGAGAUCCAGACAGGGGUGCUGGGAGAUUACAAAUAAUUGGUGGCAGAAGAUUUAUGUCACAUGUGGCCCAUAUCUCUCUCCCUCUCUCUCUCUCUGUCUCUCAUCAUACCAUGACAAUUUUAGUUUUAUGUAAACUAACAAAACAACGGAAUAGUUUGUUGUGCAAGUCCUAUGAUACUCCACUAUGUGGCUUAUGCA
Papaver somniferum (opium poppy) is the source of this 1869-nucleotide RNA transcript. It is a transcript of the gene named DNA polymerase epsilon catalytic subunit B-like, with no coding region annotated. The record is from RefSeq and is a predicted model, not a curated record. The transcript is spliced from 7 exons. Lineage: Eukaryota; Viridiplantae; Streptophyta; Magnoliopsida; Ranunculales; Papaveraceae.